This 498-nucleotide ribosomal RNA is filed under the name uncultured bacterium. RNAcentral describes it as "bacterial SSU rRNA". It matches the Rfam family "Bacterial small subunit ribosomal RNA", at positions 26 to 518 of the family's 1533-position model. The record is from RNAcentral.
AGGAUGAACGCUAGCGGCAGGCUUAACACAUGCAAGUCGAGGGGCAUCGGGAGUAGCAAUACUUGCCGGCGACCGGCGCAAGGGUGCGUAACGCGUGAGCAACAUGCCCGUAUCAGGGGGAUAAUCCAUGGAAACGUGGUCUAAUACCCCAUAGUAAUUAUGUAAGGCAUCUUAUAUAAUUUAAAGCUUUGGUGGAUACGGAUUGGCUCGCGUGACAUUAGCUAGAUGGUAAGGUAACGGCUUACCAUGGCUACGAUGUCUAGGGGUUCUGAGAGGAAGGUCCCCCACACUGGAACUGAGACACGGUCCAGACUCCUACGGGAGGCAGCAGUGAGGAAUAUUGGACAAUGGAUGGAAAUCUGAUCCAGCCAUGCCGCGUGCAAGGAAGACGGCCCUAUGGGUUGUAAACUGCUUUUGUAUGGGAGCAAUAAGGGCUACGCGUAGUCCGAUGAGAGUACCAUACGAAUAAGCACCGGCUAACUCCGUGCCAGCCGCCGC